RNAcentral lists this ribosomal RNA (301 nucleotides) under uncultured bacterium. RNAcentral's name for it is "partial 16S ribosomal RNA". It matches the Rfam family "Bacterial small subunit ribosomal RNA", at positions 509 to 807 of the family's 1533-position model. The record is from RNAcentral.
CAGUAGCCGCGGGAAAACGGAGGGUGCAAGUGUUAAUCGGAAUUACUGGGCGUAAAGCGCACGCAGGCGGUUUGUUAAGUCAGAUGUGAAAUCCCCGGGCUUAACCUGGGAACUGCAUUUGAAACUGGCAGGCUAGAGUCUUGUAGAGGGGGGUAGAAUUCCAGGUGUAGCGGUGAAAUGCGUAGAGAUCGGAAGGAACAUCUGUGGCGAAGGCGACUAUCUGGGCCAACACUGACACUGAGGCACGAAAGCGUGGGGAGCAAACAGGAUUAGAUACCCGAGUAGUCCCUGUCUCUUAUAC